GAUGAACGCUGGCGGCGUGCCUAAUACAUGCAAGUCGAGCGGACGGACGAGAAUCUUGCUUCUCUGAUGUUAGCAGCGGGCGGGUGAGUAACACGUGGAUAACCUACCUAUAAGACUGAGAUAACUUCGGGAAACCGGAGCUACUACCGGAUAAUAUUUUUAACCGCAUGGGUCAAAAGUGAAAGACGGUCUUGCUGUGACUUCGAGAUGGAUCCGCGCUUCAUUUGCGAGUUGGUAAGGUAACGGCUUACCAAGGCACCGAUGCCUAGCCGACCGUAGAGGGGGAACGGCCACACGGGAACUGAGCCACGGUCCAGACUCCUACGGGAGGCAGCAGUACCGAAUGGUCCGAGAUGUGCGGAAGCUUGCCCGAGCAGUGCCGGGUGAGUGAUGAAGGGCUGUGUGUCGGAUAACUCCGUUAUUGGUGAAGAACAUAUGUGCAAGUGACUGAGCUCAUCUUGACGGUACCUAAUCAGAAAGCACCGGCUAACUACGUG
RNAcentral lists this ribosomal RNA (497 nucleotides) under uncultured bacterium. RNAcentral describes it as "partial 16S ribosomal RNA". It matches the Rfam family "Bacterial small subunit ribosomal RNA", at positions 28 to 507 of the family's 1533-position model. The record is from RNAcentral.